AUUGAACGCUGGCGGCAGGCCUAACACAUGCAAGUCGAGCGGAUGAAGGGAGCUUGCUCCUGGAUUCAGCGGCGGACGGGUGAGUAAUGCCUAGGAAUCUGCCUGGUAGUGGGGGAUAACGUCCGAAAACGGGCGCUAAUACCGCAUACGUCCUGAGUGAGAAAGUGGGGGAUCUUCGGACCUGACGCUAUCAGAUGAGCCUAGGUCGGAUUAGCUAGUUGGUGGGGUAAAGGCCUACCAAGGCGACGAUCCGUAACUGGUCUGAGAGGAUGAUCAGUCACACUGGAAGUGAAACACGGUCCAGACUCCUACGGGAGGCAGCAGUGGGGAAUAUUGGACAAUGGGCGAAAGCCUGAUCCAGCCAUGCCGCGUGUGUGAAGAAGGUCUUCGGAUUGUAAAGCACUUUAAGUUGGGAGGAAGGGCAGUAAGUUAAUACCUUGCUGUUUUGACGUUACCAACAGAAUAAGCACCGGCUAACUUCGUG
Molecule: ribosomal RNA, 484 nt
Filed under: uncultured bacterium
Lineage: Bacteria
Description: partial 16S ribosomal RNA
Rfam family: Bacterial small subunit ribosomal RNA
Source: RNAcentral